AUUGAACGCUGGCGGCAUGCCUUACACAUGCAAGUCGAACGGCAGCACGGGAGCUUGCUCCUGGUGGCGAGUGGCGAACGGGUGAGUAAUAUAUCGGAACGUACCCUAGAGUGGGGAUAACGCAGCGAAAGUUGCGCUAAUACCGCAUACGAUCUACGGAUGAAAGUGGGGGAUCGCAAGACCUCAUGCUCAUGGAGCGGCCGAUAUCUGAUUAGCUAGUUGGUGGGGUAAAGGCCUACCAAGGCUUCGAUCAGUAGCUGGUCUGAGAGGACGACCAGCCACACUGGAACUGAGACACGGUCCAGACUCCUACGGGAGGCAGCAGUGGGAAUUUGGACAAUGGGCGAAGACCUGAUCCAGCAAUGCCGCGUGAGUGAAGAAGGCCU
RNAcentral lists this ribosomal RNA (386 nucleotides) under uncultured bacterium. RNAcentral describes it as "bacterial SSU rRNA". It matches the Rfam family "Bacterial small subunit ribosomal RNA", at positions 30 to 417 of the family's 1533-position model. The record is from RNAcentral.